AGUCCCUCCGCCACGUGGGAAGCGCGGUCCUGGGCGUCUGUGCCCGCGAAUCCACUGGGAGCCCGGCCUGGCCCCGACAGCGCAGCUGCUCCGGGCGGACCCGGGGGUCUGGGCCGCGCUUCCCCGCCCGCGCGCCGCUCGCGCUCCCAGGGUGCAGGGACGCCAGCGAGGGCCCCAGCGGAGAGAGGUCGAAUCGGCCUAGGCUGUGGGGUAACCCGAGGGAGGGGCCAUGAUGUGGAGGCCCUGGGAACAGGUGCGUGCGGCGACCCUUUGGCCGCUGGCCUGAUCCGGAGACCCAGGGCUGCCUCCAGGUCCGGACGCGGGGCGUCGGGCUCCGGGCACCACGAAUGCCGGACGUGAAGGGGAGGACGGAGGCGCGUAGACGCGGCUGGGGACGAACCCGAGGACGCAUUGCUCCCUGGACGGGCACGCGGGACCUCCCGGAGUGCCUCCCUGCAACACUUCCCCGCGACUUGGGCUCCUUGACACAGGCCCGUCAUUUCUCUUUGCAGGUUCUCAGGCGGCGAGGGGUCCCCACCAUGAGCAAACCACCCCAAAUCUGUUAAUCACCCACCGGGGCGGUCCCGUCGAGAAAGGGUGGGAAAUGGAGCCAGGCGCUCCUGCUGGCCGCGCACCGGGCGCCUCACACCAGCCACAACGGCCUUGACCCUGGGCCCCGGCACUCUGUCUGGCAGAUGAGGCCAACAUCUGGUCACAUCCCGCCCGCACAGGGUGGAGGGCAACCUCGGGGUCCAGGCACCUGGCUCCAAGCCUCGGACUGCAGAGCUAGGAGGCCCGACUUCCAGCCCAGCAGUAGAAGCCACACGGCCACUGGUCCCCUCCAGACCUGGGGCCCCGGCACAACCGCAGGACAGCUGAGGACUUCCCAGGAAUCCAGACUCCGGGUUGCUCAAGUUUGGAUCUAAGGGGCGAGAAACUUCUGGGUCUCCCGAGGCCUUGCAGGGAUGCUGUAGCUGAGGUCGGCAAACACUGAAAUGCUAACAAACGCAACCUUAAAUGUAACCUUUCCUACUUUCAGAAACUGCCGGAGGAAAUUGCUUUAUUUAUGGAGCUAGCAUUUGAACAGGCCUCGCACCCUCCCUGGGCUGUCACGCUCGCUGGAGGUUAGCCUCGUCUUGUAAAUACUUAGGAUUACAGGUCGCUCUUCUAGAAAUCCCCUUAGUGAUCCCUAAGCCUUUUUAAAGGGCUGUGUUUGUGAAUUGUCUCUGCCACUAGGGCAAAGGGGCGGUUUGGAAAAUUUGUUCCAACAAAAGUUAAGUUGUAGCUUACACUGGUUCUCUGCAGAGAAGCCAACAUAGAAAACACAAUUUUAAAAGAGGGAAGAGAAGAAAUGGAAGCAGAAGAUUAUGCUGGAGUAAUUAACACCAUGUGCAUGGCGAGGAAACGCCUCCCGGCAUUCAAUGAAGAUCGCUGAUACCCAGAAGACACCCCAGUAUUAUGGGUGCAGUUAGUGUGUCUUUGAAAAGCUGAUGAUGUCUUAGUCAUCACAGUGUAAAACAUCAAGAGUGUUCUAACAACAAUAAAAAAAUUCUAUCAUUGGCUUAAAACACCACAACACUUGAGUGGGGUGAGCUUCCUACCUCAGACCCAGAUGUUUC
RNAcentral lists this long non-coding RNA (1619 nucleotides) under Homo sapiens (human). RNAcentral describes it as "hTAPAS". Lineage: Eukaryota; Metazoa; Chordata; Mammalia; Primates; Hominidae. The record is from RNAcentral.